This 584-nucleotide small RNA is filed under the name Pongo abelii (Sumatran orangutan). RNAcentral describes it as "processed transcript". The record is from RNAcentral. Lineage: Eukaryota; Metazoa; Chordata; Mammalia; Primates; Hominidae.
UUCCCUGGAGGGGCUUUGCGCGUGGCGAGUCUGUGUCCUCCCUGUCCCUCCGAGCAGAGAGCCUCCCCGUAUCUGGACCGGGGAGGAGCAGACGCUGGACAGGUUUCUGGGAGAAUGCUGGCAAUUCCCAGGAAGAUACGUGGAGAACGGAAAGGUUGCUACACCCAAAUAGUGGAGCAAAGCUAUGAUUAUGGAGGAUUGGACCUGCAAACUCCAGAACAGAGGUAAGAAAUAGAAAUAAAGGGUCCUGCCAUUAGCCGAGAAUCUACAGUGUGCACACACAACCUCAUUUUAUUUUUUCUUUACAGCAACCUUGUAAAAUGUGUGUGGGCAGCACAGAGACCUUGGGCAAGUUAACAGUUUCCUCAUCUAAAUAGUGAUUUAUGGAAAGCACCUGGUGCGUGUUCUGCCCUCUGAGGACCCUGCCCUUUCCCAAAAGGGAUAUCUUGAGAAGGAAAGUAUGGCUGCUCUUUGCUGGACAGCAGAGUCCCAGAACCCCAUGCAGGUGUUUUAGGGCUUUACGUCAUUCAAGGAUGUGGCUGUGAACUUCACUGGGAAGAAUGGAGAGAACUGGACCCUGCUCA